Molecule: non-coding RNA, 112 nt
Organism: Acanthosepion pharaonis
Lineage: Eukaryota; Metazoa; Mollusca; Cephalopoda; Sepiida; Sepiidae
Source: the annotation of a GenBank genome assembly
ACGACCACAUUACGUUAAAACACCUGUUUCCGUACGAUCACUAAAGUUAAGCAACAUCGAGCCUGGUCAGUACAUAGAUGGAUGAUCGCUUGGGAAUACCAGGUGCUGUAAG